AGAGUUUGAUCAUGGCUCAGGACGAACGCUGGCGGCGUGCCUAACACAUGCAAGUCGAACGGAGGUAUUUAUUUCGGUAGAUAUCUUAGUGGCGCACGGGUGAGUAACGCGUGAAUAACCUGACCCGAAGAGGGGGAUAACACCUGGAAACAAGUGCUAAUACCGCAUAAGACCACGGACCGGCAUCGGUCAGAGGUCAAAGGAGGAAUCCGCUUUGGGAGGGGUUCGCGUCCCAUUAGGUAGUUGGUAGGGUAACGGCCCACCAAGCCGACGAUGGGUAGCCGAGCUGAGAGGCUGAUCGGCCACACUGGAACUGAGACACGGUCCAGACUCCUACGGGAGGCAGCAGUGGGGAAUAUUGGGCAAUGGGCGCAAGCCUGACCCAGCAACGCCGCGUGAGGGAAGAAGGUUUUCGGAUUGUAAACUCCUGUCGUAAGGGAAGAGAAAGGACUGUACCUUACAAGAAAGCUCCGGCUAACUACGUGCCAGCAGCCGCGGUAAUACGUAGGGAGCGAGCGUUGUCCGGAAUGACUGGGUGUAAAGGGAGCGUAGGCGGGAUGGCAAGUCAGAUGUGAAACCUGAGGGCUCAACCUUCAGACUGCAUUUGAAACUGCUGCUCUUGAGUGAAGUAGAGGUAAGCGGAAUUCCUGGUGUAGCGGUGAAAUGCGUAGAGAUCAGGAGGAACAUCUGUGGCGAAGGCGGCUUACUGGGCUUUUACUGACGCUGAGGCUCGAAAGCGUGGGGAGCAAACAGGAUUAGAUACCCUGGUAGUCCACGCUGUAAACGAUGAUUACUAGGUGUGGGGGGAUUGACCCCUUCCGUGCCGCAGUUAACACAAUAAGUAAUCCACCUGGGGAGUACGACCGCAAGGUUGAAACUCAAAGGAAUUGACGGGGGCCCGCACAAGCAGUGGAGUAUGUGGUUUAAUUCGAAGCAACGCGAAGAACCUUACCAGGUCUUGACAUCGAGUGACGUAUCCAGAGAUGGAUAUUUCCUUCGGGACACAAAGACAGGUGGUGCAUGGUUGUCGUCAGCUCGUGUCGUGAGAUGUUGGGUUAAGUCCCGCAACGAGCGCAACCCUUAUCAUUAGUUGCUACGCAAGAGCACUCUAAUGAGACUGCCGUUGACAAAACGGAGGAAGGUGGGGAUGGCGUCAAAUCAUCAUGCCCCUUAUGACCUGGGCUACACACGUACUACAAUGGCGAUCGAACAGAGGGAAGCAAGACAGCGAUGUGGAGCCAAUCCCAAAAAAUCGCCCCAGUUCAGAUUGCAGGCUGCAACUCGCCCGCAUGAAGUCGGAAUUGCUAGUAAUCGCAGAUCAGCAUGCUGCGGUGAAUACGUUCCCGGGCCUUGUACACACCGCCCGUCACACCAUGGGAGUCGGUAACACCCAAAGCCGGUCGUCUAACCUUCGGGAGGACGCCGUCUAAGGUGGGAUUGAUGACUGGGGUGAAGUCGUAACAAGGUA
RNAcentral lists this ribosomal RNA (1468 nucleotides) under metagenome. Its description in RNAcentral is "bacterial SSU rRNA". It matches the Rfam family "Bacterial small subunit ribosomal RNA". The record is from RNAcentral.